This 253-nucleotide ribosomal RNA is filed under the name uncultured bacterium. Its description in RNAcentral is "partial 16S ribosomal RNA". It matches the Rfam family "Bacterial small subunit ribosomal RNA", at positions 524 to 776 of the family's 1533-position model. The record is from RNAcentral.
UACAGAGGGGGCGAGCGUUGUUCGGAAUUACUGGGCGUAAAGGGCGCGUAGGCGGCCUCUUAAGUCGAACGUGAAAUCCCCGGGCUCAACCCGGGAACUGCGUCCGAUACUGGGAGGCUUGAAUCCGGGAGAGGGAUGUGGAAUUCCAGGUGUAGCGGUGAAAUGCGUAGAUAUCUGGAGGAACACCGGUGGCGAAGGCGGCAUCCUGGACCGGUAUUGACGCUGAGGCGCGAAAGCUAGGGGAGCAAACGGG